CCAAGUCUCUCCGUGUGCUCGGUAUCUUGAGCGUUUUAUCUCCCUGGAUGUUCCCAGGAGCCUCGUCUCAUCCCAGCUCAGGUGAGACCGCCGGGUCACAGAGCGGUUCAGCGGGCUGCCCAAGCUCCUGCCUGGAGUCUCCGGAUAAGCAACCCCAGGCCCUGAAACCAGUGCCGGUUAGCCGGAUGCUGGAACAUCCGUAUGGGUCAGAGCUGCAUUCUCAAUCCAUGGCAGCCACGGACUGCUCACCAAGCUCCCUCUGCCAUCAUUUGUUAAGGACCAGUACUUCCAACCCCUGGUAUCUUCCGGAUCUUCCACUAGCUGGAGCUGAAUGGAUAAAACGGCCCACUGAGUUUAAGAGCCGUGGCAGGUGUGUGAACACCCCAGCGGUGCUGGCUGGGGCGGCAGGGAUUUUGCGUGGCACUGCAGGGAACCGGCUUUGUGUGGCACUGCAGCUGCCUGCAUAGAGGUCAAAGGCCGCCGUCUGCCUCCCCGCUCCACAGCCUUGGAAUUAAAUCCCGUGCUUCGCAGCACGGCCAGCGGCUUGGACAUCGCCCAGCAGCCCCACAUCUCUGUCCCAGCCUUGCCUGGCUCUCCUCCCCUGGGCCCAGCUCAUCACUGCUCAAUUAGCAAUCCAGACACACACGCUGCGAAGGCCCCGUGGGCUGGGAGAUGCCGCACACACAGGGCCUCAAACUGGGGAGCGGACGGCAGACGUGAUGCACAGGAUUCAGGCUGGAAAUCUGUUCUGUUUGGCCCAUGCAGUAUUUUUGAAAAGUAAAACUAAGCCAAUAUUUUAGAAAGCACAGGCUUUAAUAAAACAUGCAGACUGCCAGCUAGCUUCCCUGGAAAAUCUGGGAGACUCCGAAAAUGUUUCCGGAACACCUGCAGUUACUCUGUGGCAAGCUCUGUUCCUGGCACAGGGGCAACGGCAGUCAGACAAAAGACAAAAGUCGCUGUCGUCAAGGAGCCUCCCUUCCAGCGGGGAAGGCAGACAACAGACAGAAAUGAAACAUGUCAGCUGGUGGUGAGCAUCCUGGAGAAAAAUAAAACAGGGAAAGAAGUUUGAUUUUAAUAGAUGUCAAGGGGUUUUCAUGGAGAGAUGAUGUUUGAUCGAAGACCUAAGGGGGUAGGGGACUGAGCCGUGUGGCUGUCUGAGGCAGAGCAUUUUAAUGGAGGCCAAAGCAAGUGCAAAGGCCCUGGGAUGAGCUGCCUGUCCACCCCCAAGCUCUGCUGCUAUUGCACAACCAACCAGCCACAUCUGGAUGGUUCAGGUUCCUGCAUGCUGGCUUCUCCCUGUCCCUUGAGUGGCAGGGACCUCCUCAGCCUCCCCUGAGCCUGGCUAUGCCUGGAACAAGAAGGAACCGUGCUUUGUGCUCCAAGCCCCUGCCCAAGGACAGAGCCAGUCCGAGAGGUACUAGAGAGAAGGAACUCUGUGCUCCUGGCCUCGAAACAGAGCAUCUCACUGUCACCUCCACAUGGUGCUCCUGAUGCCACACAGCUGCAGCAGACAGCCUGGCCAAGCUCCUAUGUAGGAAUAAGCCCACCCAAGAUCAUCCAAGUCCAGGAUCCACCAGAAGAACCACAAAGCUGGAUGCAAUCCAGUCACCAAACUGACAAACCACAAGGCAAACAAUGGUAGUCGUUCUAAGCUGCUGACAUGGGGCUGGUUUGUUAUGCAGCAAGAACUGACUGACACAGCUGUCUGUUGUGGUUGGAAAAUUAGUGCUCUUGAUCCAGGUCCUGGGAUCCAACCCCAUCUCCCUUCUUUGUUUUGAGUGACUCUGGAAAAUUUGAUAUGCCCCUCUGCAAUGUGUAUAUAAUUCCUGCUCUUGCAGAGUGGCUGGGAAGAGCUAGGGAGUUAAUCUGAAAUGCUAAGCAUCAGCCAGGAAGGAGGACACAGUCUCCAGUAUUGAUGGGCAAAGCCAGCCAUUUAGACAGGGAUCUAAAUGAUUGGUUUGUUCAGGCCUGAGUGAGGCCUUGCAGGGGAUGCAAGGGGCAGACAGCUCUUGCUGUAGUUAUCUUGAUAGGCUCUUAGGAAUAACAUUUUCCUCUGGGAAAAGAUCCCUUUCCUGGCCUCAUUCUGUGUGCCUUGGAUGGGGCUCACUCAAACCUGGUCCCCCUCCUGGCCAGUCAGGGUAGUGCAUCUCUCAGCUCACUAUGAUUGGUUCAGGGCUGGGCACAUGAUCCAGUGUGGGCCAAUGAAAGCUUGUCCCAUGACUUUUGCAGAAUUCUAUAGAAAGAGGUAUUCUCUUUCCAUUGGAGCUGCUAAGCUGGUAGAAUAGAAACCUGCAGCUGCAGUUGAGCACUUUUGCCACCACACAGGAAAAUCUCACCAAAGGAGAAAAAGCAGAGCUGGGAGAUGGAGAAAGACUGAUUUCUGACGAUGGCGUCAGAAUGCCGGAUCCAGCCAUGCCUGAAUCUACCCUGGACAUUUCGGCUCGCAUGAGUUACUAUGCUCCCCCUACCCCUAUGCUCUUCUCAAGCCACGUUUGAAAUGAAUUUCCGCCUCUGCUGCCCUCCUGAGCUUUUCAGCCUCUUCAGGGUGAGACCAAGCUAAUCUAGGGCGAACAGGGAUGCCAAAGUCACCAGCGUUGUCUGCGGUCUGGAGAACAGUAAGACAGUGACUGCACCCGCCCCCCAUACACCUCUCCGUCCUCCACCUCACAGGUCUGUCCCUCAAGCUCCUUAGAGGACAGGAAAGAUUUCCAAGCCAUCUGAGAGCCUGGGCCUGCUGAGAGCCAGCACUCACAAUUAAAAUCCUGUGAUAAUAAACAACAUUAAUUAAAACCAAAA
This is a long non-coding RNA of Chinchilla lanigera (long-tailed chinchilla), 2796 nucleotides long. RefSeq lists it as uncharacterized. NCBI's taxonomy places the organism in Eukaryota, Metazoa, Chordata, Mammalia, Rodentia, Chinchillidae. The record is from RefSeq and is a predicted model, not a curated record. The transcript is spliced from 2 exons.